Gongylonema pulchrum is the source of this 46-nucleotide non-coding RNA. The record is from Rfam. NCBI's taxonomy places the organism in Eukaryota, Metazoa, Nematoda, Chromadorea, Rhabditida, Gongylonematidae.
CCAACGGCCCUCUUUAGGGCCACAGACAUGUGAGUCAUGCUUCUCU